This 304-nucleotide ribosomal RNA is filed under the name uncultured bacterium. RNAcentral describes it as "partial 16S ribosomal RNA". It matches the Rfam family "Bacterial small subunit ribosomal RNA", at positions 506 to 807 of the family's 1533-position model. The record is from RNAcentral.
CAGCAGCAGCCACGGUAAUACGAAGGGUGCAAGCGUUACUCGGAAUUACUGGGCGUAAAGCGUGCGUAGGUGGUGGUUUAAGUCCGUUGUGAAAGCCCUGGGCUCAACCUGGGAAUUGCAGUGGAUACUGGAUCACUAGAGUGUGGUAGAGGAUAGUGGAAUUUCCGGUGUAGCAGUGAAAUGCGUAGAGAUCGGAAGGAACAUCUGUGGCGAAGGCGACUAUCUGGGCCAACACUGACACUGAGGCACGAAAGCGUGGGGAGCAAACAGGAUUAGAUACCCCGGUAGUCCCUGUCUCUUAUAC